This 868-nucleotide ribosomal RNA is filed under the name uncultured bacterium. RNAcentral's name for it is "bacterial SSU rRNA". It matches the Rfam family "Bacterial small subunit ribosomal RNA", at positions 28 to 852 of the family's 1533-position model. The record is from RNAcentral.
GACGAACGUUGGCGGCGUGCCUAAUACAUGCAAGUCGAACGAGGCUGCCCAGUUGCUAGUCGGUGCUUGCACUGACGAACAAUUGGAUCCAGCCGAGUGGCGAACUGGUGAGUAACACGUGGGUAACCUGCCCAGCAGAAGGGGAUAACACCUGGAAACAGAUGCUAAUACCGUAUAAACCUGAAAACCGCCUGGUUUUCAGCUAAAAGAUGGUGUACGCUAUCGCUGCUGGAUGGACCCGCGGCGUAUUAGCUAGUUGGCGAGAUAAUAGCUCACCAAGGCGAUGAUACGUAGCAGACCUGAGAGGGUAAUCUGCCACAAUGGGACUGAGACACGGCCCAUACUCCUACGGGAGGCAGCAGUAGGGAAUCUUCCACAAUGGACGAAAGUCUGAUGGAGCAACGCCGCGUGAGUGAAGAAGGGUUUCGGCUCGUAAAACUCUGUUGUUAGAGAAGAACGAUCGUAAGAGUAACUGCUUACGGUGUGACGGUAUCUAACCAGAAAGUCACGGCUAACUACGUGCCAGCAGCCGCGGUAAUACGUAGGUGGCAAACGUUGUCCGGAUUUAUUGGGCGUAAAGCGAGCGCAGGCGGUUUUCUAAGUCUGAUGUGAAAGCCUUCGGCUUAACCGAAGAAGUGCAUCGGAAACUGGGGAACUUGAGGGCAGGAAAGGAUAGUGGAACUUCAUGUGUAGCGGUGAAAUGCGUAGAUAUAUGAAGGAACACCAGUGGCGAAGGCGGCUAUCUGGUCUGCAUCUGACGCUGAGGCUCGAAAGCAUGGGUAGCAAACAGGAUUAGAUACCCUGGUAGUCCAUGCCGUAAACGAUGAAUGCUAGGUGUUGGGAGGUUUCCGCCUCUCAGUGCCGGAGC